GGUUAAGCGACUAAGCGUACACGGUGGAUGCCCUGGCAGUCAGAGGCGAUGAAGGACGUGCUAAUCUGCGAUAAGCGUCGGUGAGGUGAUAUGAACCGUUAUAACCGGCGAUUUCCGAAUGGGGAAACCCAGUGUGUUUCGACACACUAUCAUUAACUGAAUCCAUAGGUUAAUGAGGCGAACCGGGGGAACUGAAACAUCUAAGUACCCCGAGGAAAAGAAAUCAACCGAGAUUCCCCCAGUAGCGGCGAGCGAACGGGGAGGAGCCCAGAGCCUGAAUCAGUGUGUGUGUUAGUGGAAGCGUCUGGAAAGGCGUGCGAUACAGGGUGACAGCCCCGUACACAAAAAUGCACAUAUUGUGAGCUCGAUGAGUAGGGCGGGACACGUGGUAUCCUGUCUGAAUAUGGGGGGACCAUCCUCCAAGGCUAAAUACUCCUGACUGACCGAUAGUGAACCAGUACCGUGAGGGAAAGGCGAAAAGAACCCCGGCGAGGGGAGUGAAAAAGAACCUGAAACCGUGUACGUACAAGCAGUGGGAGCCUCUUUAUGGGGUGACUGCGUACCUUUUGUAUAAUGGGUCAGCGACUUAUAUUCUGUAGCAAGGUUAACCGAAUAGGGGAGCCGAAGGGAAACCGAGUCUUAACUGGGCGUUAAGUUGCAGGGUAUAGACCCGAAACCCGGUGAUCUAGCCAUGGGCAGGUUGAAGGUUGGGUAACACUAACUGGAGGACCGAACCGACUAAUGUUGAAAAAUUAGCGGAUGACUUGUGGCUGGGGGUGAAAGGCCAAUCAAACCGGGAGAUAGCUGGUUCUCCCCGAAAGCUAUUUAGGUAGCGCCUCGUGAAUUCAUCUCCGGGGGUAGAGCACUGUUUCGGCAAGGGGGUCAUCCCGACUUACCAACCCGAUGCAAACUGCGAAUACCGGAGAAUGUUAUCACGGGAGACACACGGCGGGUGCUAACGUCCGUCGUGAAGAGGGAAACAACCCAGACCGCCAGCUAAGGUCCCAAAGUCAUGGUUAAGUGGGAAACGAUGUGGGAAGGCCCAGACAGCCAGGAUGUUGGCUUAGAAGCAGCCAUCAUUUAAAGAAAGCGUAAUAGCUCACUGGUCGAGUCGGCCUGCGCGGAAGAUGUAACGGGGCUAAACCAUGCACCGAAGCUGCGGCAGCGACACUAUGUGUUGUUGGGUAGGGGAGCGUUCUGUAAGCCUGUGAAGGUGGCCUGUGAGGGUUGCUGGAGGUAUCAGAAGUGCGAAUGCUGACAUAAGUAACGAUAAAGCGGGUGAAAAGCCCGCUCGCCGGAAGACCAAGGGUUCCUGUCCAACGUUAAUCGGGGCAGGGUGAGUCGACCCCUAAGGCGAGGCCGAAAGGCGUAGUCGAUGGGAAACAGGUUAAUAUUCCUGUACUUGGUGUUACUGCGAAGGGGGGACGGAGAAGGCUAUGUUGGCCGGGCGACGGUUGUCCCGGUUUAAGCGUGUAGGCUGGUUUUCCAGGCAAAUCCGGAAAACCAAGGCUGAGGCGUGAUGACGAGGCACUACGGUGCUGAAGCGACAAAUGCCCUGCUUCCAGGAAAAGCCUCUAAGCAUCAGGUAACAUCAAAUCGUACCCCAAACCGACACAGGUGGUCAGGUAGAGAAUACCAAGGCGCUUGAGAGAACUCGGGUGAAGGAACUAGGCAAAAUGGUGCCGUAACUUCGGGAGAAGGCACGCUGAUAUGUAGGUGAAGCGACUUGCUCGUGGAGCUGAAAUCAGUCGAAGAUACCAGCUGGCUGCAACUGUUUAUUAAAAACACAGCACUGUGCAAACACGAAAGUGGACGUAUACGGUGUGACGCCUGCCCGGUGCCGGAAGGUUAAUUGAUGGGGUUAGCGGUAACGCGAAGCUCUUGAUCGAAGCCCCGGUAAACGGCGGCCGUAACUAUAACGGUCCUAAGGUAGCGAAAUUCCUUGUCGGGUAAGUUCCGACCUGCACGAAUGGCGUAAUGAUGGCCAGGCUGUCUCCACCCGAGACUCAGUGAAAUUGAACUCGCUGUGAAGAUGCAGUGUACCCGCGGCAAGACGGAAAGACCCCGUGAACCUUUACUAUAGCUUGACACUGAACAUUGAGCCUUGAUGUGUAGGAUAGGUGGGAGGCUUUGAAGUGUGGACGCCAGUCUGCAUGGAGCCGACCUUGAAAUACCACCCUUUAAUGUUUGAUGUUCUAACGUUGGCCCGUAAUCCGGGUUGCGGACAGUGUCUGGUGGGUAGUUUGACUGGGGCGGUCUCCUCCUAAAGAGUAACGGAGGAGCACGAAGGUUGGCUAAUCCUGGUCGGACAUCAGGAGGUUAGUGCAAUGGCAUAAGCCAGCUUGACUGCGAGCGUGACGGCGCGAGCAGGUGCGAAAGCAGGUCAUAGUGAUCCGGUGGUUCUGAAUGGAAGGGCCAUCGCUCAACGGAUAAAAGGUACUCCGGGGAUAACAGGCUGAUACCGCCCAAGAGUUCAUAUCGACGGCGGUGUUUGGCACCUCGAUGUCGGCUCAUCACAUCCUGGGGCUGAAGUAGGUCCCAAGGGUAUGGCUGUUCGCCAUUUAAAGUGGUACGCGAGCUGGGUUUAGAACGUCGUGAGACAGUUCGGUCCCUAUCUGCCGUGGGCGCUGGAGAACUGAGGGGGGCUGCUCCUAGUACGAGAGGACCGGAGUGGACGCAUCACUGGUGUUCGGGUUGUCAUGCCAAUGGCACUGCCCGGUAGCUAAAUGCGGAAGAGAUAAGUGCUGAAAGCAUCUAAGCACGAAACUUGCCCCGAGAUGAGUUCUCCCUGACUCCUUGAGAGUCCUGAAGGAACGUUGAAGACGACGACGUUGAUAGGCCGGGUGUGUAAGCGCAGCGAUGCGUUGAGCUAACCGGUACUAAUGAACCGUGAGGCUUAACCUUAC
Molecule: ribosomal RNA, 2906 nt
Filed under: Escherichia coli APEC IMT5155
Lineage: Bacteria; Pseudomonadati; Pseudomonadota; Gammaproteobacteria; Enterobacterales; Enterobacteriaceae
Description: bacterial LSU rRNA
Rfam family: Bacterial large subunit ribosomal RNA
Source: RNAcentral